This 1583-nucleotide long non-coding RNA is filed under the name Capsicum annuum. RNAcentral's name for it is "long non-coding RNA (CANN_LNC020419)". Lineage: Eukaryota; Viridiplantae; Streptophyta; Magnoliopsida; Solanales; Solanaceae. The record is from RNAcentral.
UUUUCUCUCAAGAACACCCCUUAGGGUUUCAAACAAAAAUCCCAAAGAACUCAAGAUUCAACUGUGGGUUUUGGAAGAUAAUUGGAGAUUUGGAAUCCCUACAUCGUAAGCUUCAAGAAUCAUCCCUAAAUUUCUUAAAUAGAGGUACGCGGAGUUUUCCUAAAUUCUCAUGGGCAUAGAAAUCAUGUUUUAAGAAAGGGGUUUUUGAAUUCAUGUACACAUUCAUGUUUUAGAAGCAUUAAUGAUAUUGUUUGGGCUUUUUGGCUUUCCCCCAAAGUGACUUGAAAAUUAUAUGUAUAUGUAUAUAUGUGUUUUGUCUUGAAAUAUGAAUUGAGAGAACAAUUUACAUGAAAUCCCUCUCUUGAUGUAAUUUUCUCAUGUUUCACAUGCUAUAGAUUGUUUUGAAAUACGUCUUGAAAAAUCAUGAUAGGAAAUGCUUUGACUUUGCUAUGUUUGGAAUACGAUUUUGAACACGAAAGAGAGGGAUGUAAAUGUUGAAUAUACAUAUAAUGAAAGAGUGCAUAGUUUUGCCAAAAGUACAUGACCACUAUAUGUUUGAUGGAAGUUUUUGUAUGGUUUUGACUUGAGUUUCGGAACAUGAAAUCUUUUAUGCAAAUUACAUGUUUGGGUGGUCUGAAACUAUAUUUUUAUGAAAGAUCAUGCUUAUGACAUUAUGGCUCAGAAACAGGACUUGCAAGUCUUGGUAUGACGAUACCAACUCAGACAAAUGCCAUAACAGACACAGACUAGUUCAGAAAUCAGAUUUUAUCAGACUUUCAUGAUUUAAAAAUUUCAGAAUGAUACAUGUUCAGAAAAGGUUAAAAAUUGGGCAUAAAGAGAUGUUAGGUGGUCCCCGAAGUAGGCGUGAGUUUAGACAACUCAUUGCCCAAAAUCAUGAUUUGCCGAUCCGGGUAUAUUAUUAUACGCUGGCUUAAGUGCCGUGUGGCGUAUCAGACUUAGACACUCCAACCCUUGCGGCACACUUGGGUUGGGGGCUUCCCCGCCGAGUCAAUGUCGGAUUCCAUAUAGCCCGUGGAAUAUUAGACUUGUAGGGGAGUGCUACCUAACUCAGAAGUAAUACAAAGAUAAGAAAUUAUUUUGACAAGAAUGUAUUAUGAUUUUCGAAUGAUGCCCAUGUGUUUUCAGAAGCUAUUUUAUACGUGAUGUGUUGAUGAAAAUUUCUCUCAUCUAUUAUAUAUAUGUUCAAAUACUUUAUUUUAGAUUGCUUCACGUGCCAGUACAUUUCUGCUGACCCCCCUCCUUCCAGGUUUUGAGACACAGUCUAGGGGUCCAGAUAAAUAGUAGAUAUUUCAGAUCGCAGAGUAGAUUGUGCAGGGGUGAGCCUUCUAUAUUUCAGAAGGCCUGUUUACUUUCAAAUAUUUUUCUUUAGUCAUGUUUUGGUCUACUGGGGGCCUUGUUCCAGUUUCCAAACAGUUUUUUUUAGUUCAUAGUAGACAUUUCGCAGACUGAGUCAGACGUUAUUAUUAUCCAGAUAUAUUUUGGAUUUCAGUUUUCAGUAUUCUGAUCACAUUCAGACUGACCAUGUUUCCGUAUUAGAUUUCUAUUUCCGAAUUAUCUUUUAU